CCUACGGGAGGCAGCAGUGGGGAAUAUUGCACAAUGGGCGAAAGCCUGAUGCAGCAACGCCGCGUGAAGGAAGACGGUUUUCGGAUUGUAAACUUCUAUCAAUAGGGAAGAACGACAUGACGGUACCUAAAUAAUAAGCCCCCGCUAACUACGUGCCAGCAGCCGCCGUACUACGUAGGGGGCAAGCGUUAUCCGGAAUUACUGGGUGUAAAGGGAGAGUAGGCGGUAAGGUAAGCGAUAUGUGAAAGCCUUAAGCUUAACUUAAGGAUUGCAUAACGAACUAUCUAGCUAGAGUACAGGAGAGGAAAGCGGAAUUCCUAGUGUAGCGGUGAAAUACGUAGAUAUUAGGAAGAACAUCAGUGGCGAAGGCGGCUUUCUGGACUGAAACUGACGCUGAGGCGCGAAAGCGUGGGGAGCGAACAGGAUUAGAUACCCGAGUAGUC
This 443-nucleotide ribosomal RNA is filed under the name uncultured bacterium. RNAcentral describes it as "partial 16S ribosomal RNA". It matches the Rfam family "Bacterial small subunit ribosomal RNA", at positions 338 to 795 of the family's 1533-position model. The record is from RNAcentral.